This 586-nucleotide unclassified non-coding RNA is filed under the name Leishmania donovani. RNAcentral describes it as "gene:unknown". The record is from RNAcentral. Lineage: Eukaryota; Euglenozoa; Kinetoplastea; Trypanosomatida; Trypanosomatidae.
ACGGUGCGUGUGUUUCUCCCCUUCUCGGUGAGCGCGCCACGCUUCCCACCUCUUUUUUUUUGCUUGCCUCCCUUUUUUUGCCGUGUUACAACGCCCGCGUCCCCAAACGCCUCCGUUCGCUGCUUCCGCUUGUCUGUAUUUGCGGCCCGCUUUCGUCCCCUCCUUGUUCCACCUCUUGCCUAGCUCAUUUCUCAUGCGCGCGUCCUGCGAAGUAGUUAUUGGGCGAGGGGGAAGAGGAAGGUUGUAUUUUGCCUCUCUUUUCUGCGCGCUUCUUCGGGUCUCGCUGCCGACCCGUGGAUGCCCGGCGUCGCACUCCGCUUUCUGGCUCGUGUUCGUGCUGAAACCAAUGGUGGGGUGCUAACGACCGCGUCGGCACGCUCUGGGCGACAAACACACACACACACACACACACACACGGUCUGGCGUAAGUGUGCGUCGUGGCGCGAUCUGCACCGGCUUGUGCGUGUGCGUCUUCGAUGGCGUUCUUUUAUGCAUCUUUCUCUACCCCUCUGCCGCGUGCGCAUUUGGGCACAAGGGCCACCCGCGCUCCCCUCUUUCUGCUCCGCUGUCGCUUCUUGUCCAAUAG